RNAcentral lists this transfer RNA (73 nucleotides) under Brachyseps macrocercus (Black-striped skink). RNAcentral describes it as "tRNA-Ile". It matches the Rfam family "tRNA". From Rfam's summary of the family: Transfer RNA (tRNA) molecules are approximately 80 nucleotides in length. Their secondary structure includes four short double-helical elements and three loops (D, anti-codon, and T loops). Further hydrogen bonds mediate the characteristic L-shaped molecular structure. tRNAs have two regions of fundamental functional importance: the anti-codon, which is responsible for specific mRNA codon recognition, and the 3' end, to which the tRNAs corresponding amino acid is attached (by aminoacyl-tRNA synthetases). tRNAs cope with the degeneracy of the genetic code in two manners: having more than one tRNA (with a specific anti-codon) for a particular amino acid; and 'wobble' base-pairing, i.e. permitting non-standard base-pairing at the 3rd anti-codon position. Lineage: Eukaryota; Metazoa; Chordata; Lepidosauria; Squamata; Scincidae. The record is from RNAcentral.
ACAGGAAAUGUGCCCGAAAUCAAGGGCUACUUUGAUAGAGUACGUCACAGGGGUUAAAAUCCCCUCAUUCCCU